ACGCGAAGAACUUACCUACUCUUGACUCCACAGAACUUGGCAGAGAUGCUUUGGUGCCUUCGGGAACUCUGAGACAGGUGCUGCAUGGCUGUCGUCAGCUCGUGUUGUGAAAUGUUGGGUUAAGUCCCGCAACGAGCGCAACCCUUAUCCUUUGUUGCCAGCGGUUCGGCCGGGAACUCAAAGGAGACUGCCAGUGAUAAACUGGAGGAAGGUGGGGAUGACGUCAAGUCAUCAUGGCCCUUACGAGUAGGGCUACACACGUGCUACAAUGGCAUAUACAAAGAGAAGCGACCUCGCGAGAGCAAGCGGACCUCAUAAAGUAUGUCGUAGUCCGGAUUGGAGUCUGCAACUCGACUCCAUGAAGUCGGAAUCGCUAGUAAUCGUGGAUCAGAAUGCCACGGUGAAACGUUUCCCCGGGC
This 419-nucleotide ribosomal RNA is filed under the name bacterium P5(2015). RNAcentral's name for it is "bacterial SSU rRNA". It matches the Rfam family "Bacterial small subunit ribosomal RNA", at positions 959 to 1380 of the family's 1533-position model. The record is from RNAcentral.